Molecule: ribosomal RNA, 486 nt
Filed under: uncultured bacterium
Lineage: Bacteria
Description: partial 16S ribosomal RNA
Rfam family: Bacterial small subunit ribosomal RNA
Source: RNAcentral
AUUGAACGCUGGCGGCAUGCCUUACACAUGCAAGUCGAACGGCAGCACGGGUGCUUGCUCCUGGUGUCGAGUGGCGCACGGGUGAGUAAUACAUCGGAACAUGUCCUGUAGUGGGGGAUAGCCCGGCGAAAGCCGGAUUAAUACCGCAUACGACCUACGGAUGAAAGCGGGGGACCUUCGGGCCUCGCGCUAUAGGGCUGGCCGAUGGCUGAUUAGCUAGUUGGUGGGGUAAAGUCCUACCAAGGCGACGAUCAGUAGCUGGUCUGAGAGGACGACCAGCCACACUGGGACUGAGACACGGCCCAGACUCCUACGGGAGGCAGCAGUAGGGAAUUGUGGACAAUGGGCGAAAGCCUGAUCCAGCAAUGCCGCGUGUGUGAAGAAGGCCUUCGGGUUGUAAAGCACUUUUGUCCGGAAAGAAAUCCUUGGCUCUAAUACAGUCGGGGGAUGACGGUACCGGAAGAAUAAGCACCGGCUAACUACGUG